CGUGUAGGCGGACUCGCAAGUCGGUUGUGAAAUCCCUGGGCUUAACCUAGGAACUGCAUCCGAAACUGCUUGUCUUGAGUAAUGGAGAGGGUGGCGGAAUUCCCGGUGUAGAGGUGAAAUUCGUAGAUAUCGGGAGGAACAUCAGUGGCGAAGGCGGCCACCUGGACAUUUACUGACGCUGAGACGCGAAAGCGUGGGGAGCAAACAGGAUUAGAUACCCUGGUAGUCC
This 229-nucleotide ribosomal RNA is filed under the name uncultured bacterium. RNAcentral describes it as "partial 16S ribosomal RNA". It matches the Rfam family "Bacterial small subunit ribosomal RNA", at positions 568 to 796 of the family's 1533-position model. The record is from RNAcentral.